UACAGAGGGGGCAAGCGUUGUUCGGAAUUACUGGGCGUAAAGGGCGCGUAGGCGGCCUGUUAAGUCGAACGUGAAAUCCCCGGGCUCAACCCGGGAACUGCGUCCGAUACUGGUAGGCUUGAAUCCGGGAGAGGGAUGCGGAAUUCCAGGUGUAGCGGUGAAAUGCGUAGAGAUGUGGAGGAACACCAGUGGCGAAGGCGGCUUUCUGGUCUGUAACUGACGCUGAGGCGCGAAAGCGUGGGGAGCAAACAGG
RNAcentral lists this ribosomal RNA (253 nucleotides) under uncultured bacterium. Its description in RNAcentral is "partial 16S ribosomal RNA". It matches the Rfam family "Bacterial small subunit ribosomal RNA", at positions 524 to 776 of the family's 1533-position model. The record is from RNAcentral.